AAGAGAGAGACAUGCGCGCAUAUCAAUAAGCGGAGGAAAAGAAACUAACAAGGAUUCCCUUAGUAACGGCGAGUGAAGCGGGAAGAGCUCAAAUUUGAAAUCUUCAAGGUUUACCUUGACGAAUUGUAGUUUAAAGAAGUGUUUUCUGCUGAAGUUUUGGUAAAAGUUCUUUGGAAUAGGACAUCAUAGAGGGUGAGAAUCCCGUAUUUGACCAUUAUUUUCAGCUUUGUGAUACACUUUCAAAGAGUCGGAUUGUUUGGGAAUGCAGUCCAAAAUGGGUGGUAAAUUUCAUCUAAAGCUAAAUAUUGGCGAGAGACCGAUAGCGAACAAGUACCGUGAGGGAAAGAUGAAAAGAACUUUGAAAAGAGAGUUAAACAGUACGUGAAAUUGUCAAAAGGGAAGCGUUUGACACCAGUGUUGUUUUCUCGAAAAUCAAUUAAAAAUGGCUCGAUUUUGUAUUGCUGAGACCUUAAAAGCUCACUGUACAUUUUUCGUGUCUUUUUUAAUGCACUUUUCGUUUAACAAGGUCAACAUCAGUUUCUUUUGUUGUAAAAGGGUCAUUGGAAGGUGGCUUUCUUUUCGGAGAAAGUGUUUAUAGCCUUUGGCCUCUGCAAUCGGAAGAGACUGAGGUCUGCAGCGUAGACUCUUCGGGGUUAGAUACAUUUGUGCUAAGUUAUAGCUUUUUAUAGACAACUUGUUGACUAUAAUUAGUCUUGUAGCUUACUCGCUUAUGCUAUUUUACCUACGCUUAGGAUGUUGAGUCGUAGAGCACGCAG
Molecule: ribosomal RNA, 776 nt
Filed under: uncultured Neocallimastigales
Lineage: Eukaryota; Fungi; Neocallimastigomycota; Neocallimastigomycetes; Neocallimastigales
Description: partial large subunit ribosomal RNA
Rfam family: Eukaryotic large subunit ribosomal RNA
Source: RNAcentral